This 610-nucleotide ribosomal RNA is filed under the name uncultured fungus. Its description in RNAcentral is "eukaryotic LSU rRNA". The stretch from base 243 to 397 matches the Rfam family "5.8S ribosomal RNA". Lineage: Eukaryota; Fungi. The record is from RNAcentral.
AAGUCGUAACAAGGUUUCCGUAGGUGAACCUGCGGAAGGAUCAUUACCGAGUUAGGGUUUGCCUUUUUAGGUGCCCGACCUCCCAACCCUUUGUCUAUGAUACCUAUUGUUGCUUCGGCGCGCCCGAGGGGUCGUACCCUCGCCUGGACUCGUGCCGGGAGCGUGGCCGCCGAUGGCCCAAUUUGAACUAUUGAACCCAAAACCUGUCGUCUGAAAACGUUAUGAUUUACAAUCAAAAACAAAACUUUCAACAACGGAUCUCUUGGUUCUGGCAUCGAUGAAGAACGCAGCGAAAUGCGAUAAGUAAUGCGAAUUGCAGAAUUUCCGUGAGUCAUCGAAUCUUUGAACGCACAUUGCGCCCACUGGUAUUCCGGUGGGCAUGCCUGUUCGAGCGUCAUUAUCCUCUCUCCCAACCUCUGGUCGGGGCGUUGGAUCGAGUUGUGGGUCUCGUCCGCAACUGGUCUCAAAGACAAUGACGGCGUCCGUGGGACCCUCUUCGCAACGAGUCUUUCGAGGCACGCGGGGAGUUGCAAGGUCUCGUCGGGUCGGUCGACACCUUUAUUUUUUCUAGGUUGACCUCGGAUCAGGUAGGAAUACCCGCUGAACUUAA